GACGAACGCUGGCGGCGUGCUUAACACAUGCCAGUCGAACGGAAAGGCCCUGCUUUUGUGGGGUGCUCGAGUGGCGAACGGGUGAGUAACACGUGAGUAACCUGCCCUUGACUUUGGGAUAACUUCAGGAAACUGGGGCUAAUACCGGAUAGGAGCUCCUGCUGCAUGGUGGGGGUUGGAAAGUUUCGGCGGUUGGGGAUGGACUCGCGGCUUAUCAGCUUGUUGGUGGGGUAGUGGCUUACCAAGGCUUUGACGGGUAGCCGGCCUGAGAGGGUGACCGGCCACAUUGGGACUGAGAUACGGCCCAGACUCCUACGGGAGGCAGCAGUGGGGAAUAUUGCACAAUGGGCGGAAGCCUGAUGCAGCAACGCCGCGUGCGGGAUGACGGCCUGCGGGUUGUAAACCGCUUUCGCCUGUGACGAAGCGGGAGUGACGGUAAUGGGUAAAGAAGCACCGGCUAACUACGUG
Molecule: ribosomal RNA, 468 nt
Filed under: uncultured bacterium
Lineage: Bacteria
Description: partial 16S ribosomal RNA
Rfam family: Bacterial small subunit ribosomal RNA
Source: RNAcentral